AGCAUGAUACGCCAACAGAGCUUUAUCCAGUCUGGAUGACCAAUAUUUGCGAGUUGGAUCUACUAUUUUCUCUGAAAUCUAUUUAAUUUCUCAAUUAAAAACAUCAGCUUGUUCAUUUAUUUGGGGGUGAUAUGCAAUGGCUACCUCAUCCCAUACCUAUUCAAUGCAUUGGCGACUAAUUUGCAGUCGAAAUGGGAUCCCUCAUCACUAAUAAGAGCAUAGGGUGUACCAAAUAUUGUGAAGAUAUUUUAAUGCAAGAACUGUACCACCG
This 271-nucleotide long non-coding RNA is filed under the name Gossypium barbadense (sea-island cotton). RNAcentral describes it as "long non-coding RNA (GBAR_LNC018449)". The record is from RNAcentral. Lineage: Eukaryota; Viridiplantae; Streptophyta; Magnoliopsida; Malvales; Malvaceae.